AAAUUAACUCUUGAAAUUGAUUUCCUAAAUUAAAUAGUAAGUUUACAACCUAAUCACAUAGUAAGUUAAUAACCUAAUUACAUAGUAAGUUUACAACCUAAGCUAAUGAUCAAAGCUCCCAAUCCUUAUCCUAGGAUCAAAAUCAAGAUAAUCAAGAAUCUCCUAGACACUCAUUUUAGUGGUAAUAAGGUUAGUUGUUUACUAUCUUC
This 209-nucleotide unclassified non-coding RNA is filed under the name Hevea brasiliensis (rubber tree). The record is from RNAcentral. Lineage: Eukaryota; Viridiplantae; Streptophyta; Magnoliopsida; Malpighiales; Euphorbiaceae.